GAGAGAGAGAGAGAGAGGGGGAGAUUUCUCUUGAGACUCAAGAAAGAAGGACAAAUUGCACUUUCCAUUAAAAAUAAAAAAAACGCACCAAUCAACCAAUCAAUCAAAAACUCUAUAAAUUGAAGCUGCCAAUAAAUAAUGUUGGCUCUUUCUCUCGAGUUAAUUAUGUGUUGCGUGCUUUCUUUUGCUUAUGCAAUUUAUUUGCAGUGAUAGGAAUGGGCAAUGCUAGUGGCAAAAGUGAUGAAGAAGGCACUUCAGGAGAGGGUUAUGAGGAGGAGGCUAUAGAGUGUGCCGCACAUGGUAGGGCUUCACACGUUGGCUAUCAUGUUUCGGGGCUGGAUGCAGAGGCAGAGCCCAUGGCGCAC
This 365-nucleotide unclassified non-coding RNA is filed under the name Hevea brasiliensis (rubber tree). Lineage: Eukaryota; Viridiplantae; Streptophyta; Magnoliopsida; Malpighiales; Euphorbiaceae. The record is from RNAcentral.